Molecule: unclassified non-coding RNA, 232 nt
Filed under: Hevea brasiliensis (rubber tree)
Lineage: Eukaryota; Viridiplantae; Streptophyta; Magnoliopsida; Malpighiales; Euphorbiaceae
Source: RNAcentral
UUCAUCUUAGGGAUGAUCAACCGUUGGAAUAUGGAUUUCGUUUAAGUAGUCCUCAACGGAGCCCUCAGUUUUACCGAUCGAAUUACCAGAGCCUGUCGCCGACGUCCAAAGCUCUCGCUAUAGCUACUGGACAGAAGGAGCUUAUGGAAAUGGUGAACAAUAUGCCGGAGUCGUGUUACGAGUUGUCGUUGAGAGACUUGGUGGAGCAGCCGAUGGCUUUGGGGGAACGAGA